Molecule: ribosomal RNA, 2925 nt
Filed under: Escherichia coli
Lineage: Bacteria; Pseudomonadati; Pseudomonadota; Gammaproteobacteria; Enterobacterales; Enterobacteriaceae
Description: partial 23S ribosomal RNA
Rfam family: Bacterial large subunit ribosomal RNA
Source: RNAcentral
GGGUUGUGAGGUUAAGCGACUAAGCGUACACGGUGGAUGCCCUGGCAGUCAGAGGCGAUGAAGGACGUGCUAAUCUGCGAUAAGCGUCGGUAAGGUGAUAUGAACCGUUAUAACCGGCGAUUUCCGAAUGGGGAAACCCAGUGUGUUUCGACACACUAUCAUUAACUGAAUCCAUAGGUUAAUGAGGCGAACCGGGGGAACUGAAACAUCUAAGUACCCCGAGGAAAAGAAAUCAACCGAGAUUCCCCCAGUAGCGGCGAGCGAACGGGGAGGAGCCCAGAGCCUGAAUCAGUGUGUGUGUUAGUGGAAGCGUCUGGAAAGGCGCGCGAUACAGGGUGACAGCCCCGUACACAAAAAUGCACAUAUUGUGAGCUCGAUGAGUAGGGCGGGACACGUGGUAUCCUGUCUGAAUAUGGGGGGACCAUCCUCCAAGGCUAAAUACUCCUGACUGACCGAUAGUGAACCAGUACCGUGAGGGAAAGGCGAAAAGAACCCCGGCGAGGGGAGUGAAAAAGAACCUGAAACCGUGUACGUACAAGCAGUGGGAGCACGCUUAGGCGUGUGACUGCGUACCUUUUGUAUAAUGGGUCAGCGACUUAUAUUCUGUAGCAAGGUUAACCGAAUAGGGGAGCCGAAGGGAAACCGAGUCUUAACUGGGCGUUAAGUUGCAGGGUAUAGACCCGAAACCCGGUGAUCUAGCCAUGGGCAGGUUGAAGGUUGGGUAACACUAACUGGAGGACCGAACCGACUAAUGUUGAAAAAUUAGCGGAUGACUUGUGGCUGGGGGUGAAAGGCCAAUCAAACCGGGAGAUAGCUGGUUCUCCCCGAAAGCUAUUUAGGUAGCGCCUCGUGAAUUCAUCUCCGGGGGUAGAGCACUGUUUCGGCAAGGGGGUCAUCCCGACUUACCAACCCGAUGCAAACUGCGAAUACCGGAGAAUGUUAUCACGGGAGACACACGGCGGGUGCUAACGUCCGUCGUGAAGAGGGAAACAACCCAGACCGCCAGCUAAGGUCCCAAAGUCAUGGUUAAGUGGGAAACGAUGUGGGAAGGCCCAGACAGCCAGGAUGUUGGCUUAGAAGCAGCCAUCAUUUAAAGAAAGCGUAAUAGCUCACUGGUCGAGUCGGCCUGCGCGGAAGAUGUAACGGGGCUAAACCAUGCACCGAAGCUGCGGCAGCGACGCUUAUGCGUUGUUGGGUAGGGGAGCGUUCUGUAAGCCUGUGAAGGUGUGCUGUGAGGCAUGCUGGAGGUAUCAGAAGUGCGAAUGCUGACAUAAGUAACGAUAAAGCGGGUGAAAAGCCCGCUCGCCGGAAGACCAAGGGUUCCUGUCCAACGUUAAUCGGGGCAGGGUGAGUCGACCCCUAAGGCGAGGCCGAAAGGCGUAGUCGAUGGGAAACAGGUUAAUAUUCCUGUACUUGGUGUUACUGCGAAGGGGGGACGGAGAAGGCUAUGUUGGCCGGGCGACGGUUGUCCCGGUUUAAGCGUGUAGGCUGGUUUUCCAGGCAAAUCCGGAAAAUCAAGGCUGAGGCGUGAUGACGAGGCACUACGGUGCUGAAGCAACAAAUGCCCUGCUUCCAGGAAAAGCCUCUAAGCAUCAGGUAACAUCAAAUCGUACCCCAAACCGACACAGGUGGUCAGGUAGAGAAUACCAAGGCGCUUGAGAGAACUCGGGUGAAGGAACUAGGCAAAAUGGUGCCGUAACUUCGGGAGAAGGCACGCUGAUAUGUAGGUGAAGCGACUUGCUCGUGGAGCUGAAAUCAGUCGAAGAUACCAGCUGGCUGCAACUGUUUAUUAAAAACACAGCACUGUGCAAACACGAAAGUGGACGUAUACGGUGUGACGCCUGCCCGGUGCCGGAAGGUUAAUUGAUGGGGUCAGCGCAAGCGAAGCUCUUGAUCGAAGCCCCGGUAAACGGCGGCCGUAACUAUAACGGUCCUAAGGUAGCGAAAUUCCUUGUCGGGUAAGUUCCGACCUGCACGAAUGGCGUAAUGAUGGCCAGGCUGUCUCCACCCGAGACUCAGUGAAAUUGAACUCGCUGUGAAGAUGCAGUGUACCCGCGGCAAGACGGAAAGACCCCGUGAACCUUUACUAUAGCUUGACACUGAACAUUGAGCCUUGAUGUGUAGGAUAGGUGGGAGGCUUUGAAGUGUGGACGCCAGUCUGCAUGGAGCCGACCUUGAAAUACCACCCUUUAAUGUUUGAUGUUCUAACGUUGACCCGUGAUCCGGGUUGCGGACAGUGUCUGGUGGGUAGUUUGACUGGGGCGGUCUCCUCCUAAAGAGUAACGGAGGAGCACGAAGGUUGGCUAAUCCUGGUCGGACAUCAGGAGGUUAGUGCAAUGGCAUAAGCCAGCUUGACUGCGAGCGUGACGGCGCGAGCAGGUGCGAAAGCAGGUCAUAGUGAUCCGGUGGUUCUGAAUGGAAGGGCCAUCGCUCAACGGAUAAAAGGUACUCCGGGGAUAACAGGCUGAUACCGCCCAAGAGUUCAUAUCGACGGCGGUGUUUGGCACCUCGAUGUCGGCUCAUCACAUCCUGGGGCUGAAGUAGGUCCCAAGGGUAUGGCUGUUCGCCAUUUAAAGUGGUACGCGAGCUGGGUUUAGAACGUCGUGAGACAGUUCGGUCCCUAUCUGCCGUGGGCGCUGGAGAACUGAGGGGGGCUGCUCCUAGUACGAGAGGACCGGAGUGGACGCAUCACUGGUGUUCGGGUUGUCAUGCCAAUGGCACUGCCCGGUAGCUAAAUGCGGAAGAGAUAAGUGCUGAAAGCAUCUAAGCACGAAACUUGCCCCGAGAUGAGUUCUCCCUGACCCUUUAAGGGUCCUGAAGGAACGUUGAAGACGACGACGUUGAUAGGCCGGGUGUGUAAGCGCAGCGAUGCGUUGAGCUAACCGGUACUAAUGAACCGUGAGGCUUAACCUUACAACGCCGAAG